Echinostoma caproni is the source of this 45-nucleotide non-coding RNA. The record is from Rfam. NCBI's taxonomy places the organism in Eukaryota, Metazoa, Platyhelminthes, Trematoda, Plagiorchiida, Echinostomatidae.
GCACUGCUUAAGAGUCCCAAACAGGACGAAACAGUUGUCCAGUGC